UGCCCUUGUACACAAGGCGAGGCCAGCACUGCCACGCUCCGGUUUAGCCCCUCCUGUGUCUCCGUUCCAGUUAGGCUGAAAGGCGCUGGCUGGCCACAGCAGCUUCACCCUGCCCUGCCAGGCCCUGCUGUCCCAGGAGAGUCAGAAACCAAGUGUGAGACAUGGGUCUGCAUGCAAAAGUGCAGGACACCUCCAGAGAGCUCUCGUUUUCAGGUUAAGCGAAGCCACAAAGAGCCGCAAGGCAGAGGACAGACCCCACCUGAAGCGGGUUCAUGAAACCAAGAUGCUCAAGGAUGAACUUUCUAUCCAGGAGUCUAUCCAAGCCUAUAAUUGCUUUUCGCAUCUACAGCUGCCCACACCUGCCCCCAGCCGAAGGACGCAGUGCUUUGCAUGAAAAGGCCCUCAGCAGAACACACACAAGAAUUCAGGGCAAUUGAGGACAGACACCAUGGCCCCCAAGUCCAUCAACUCAGGGACCCUUAAUACAGGAGCACUGGUUUUGAAAGAAGCUCAGGACGGUCUGGUGGCUUCGCUCUAUUGACCUCCACAGCUUGCUUGGGCACCAUCCCUGCCUCCCUGAGGCUCUGACACGCAGAAUGACACCCUGUUCUCUGCAGGUGCCUGCAGAGCACCUGUUGCCCAACUCCAGAGGGAGCCACCCACGUACCCCAGGAGGUUCAUUUCCAUAUGUGACCCCAGCAUGCUGUGAUCACUUCGGGUAGGAGUCUGUAGGGGUGGGAG
RNAcentral lists this long non-coding RNA (741 nucleotides) under Ursus maritimus (polar bear). RNAcentral describes it as "lncRNA (ENSUMAG00000006795.1)". The record is from RNAcentral. Lineage: Eukaryota; Metazoa; Chordata; Mammalia; Carnivora; Ursidae.